Molecule: ribosomal RNA, 301 nt
Filed under: uncultured bacterium
Lineage: Bacteria
Description: partial 16S ribosomal RNA
Rfam family: Bacterial small subunit ribosomal RNA
Source: RNAcentral
CAGUAGCCGCGGUAAUACGAAGGGGGCUAGCGUUGUUCGGAUUUACUGGGCGUAAAGCGCACGUAGGCGGAUCGAUCAGUCAGGGGUGAAAUCCCAGAGCUCAACUCUGGAACUGCCUUUGAUACUGUCGAUCUGGAGUAUGGAAGAGGUGAGUGGAAUUCCGAGUGUAGAGGUGAAAUUCGUAGAUAUUCGGAGGAACACCAGUGGCGAAGGCGGCUCACUGGUCCAUUACUGACGCUGAGGUGCGAAAGCGUGGGGAGCAAACAGGAUUAGAUACCCCCGUAGUCCCUGUCUCUUAUAC